Molecule: ribosomal RNA, 439 nt
Filed under: uncultured bacterium
Lineage: Bacteria
Description: partial 16S ribosomal RNA
Rfam family: Bacterial small subunit ribosomal RNA
Source: RNAcentral
CCUACGGGAGGCAGCAGUUAGGAAUUUUGGGCAAUGGGCGAAAGCCUGACCCAGCAACGCCGCGUGGGGGAGGAAGGCCUUCGGGUCGUAAACCCCUUUUCUGGGGGAAGACUAGGACGGUACCCCAGGAAUAAGCCCCGGCUAACUCUGUGCCAGCAGCCGCGGUAAAACGGAGGAGGCUAGCGUUAUCCGGAUUUAUUGGGCGUAAAGGGCGCGCAGGCGGCCCUGGAAGUUGGGGGUGAAAUCUCCCGGCUCAACCGGGAGGGGUCCCGCAAUACUCCGGGGCAAGAGGUCAGCAGAGGAAGGGGGAAUUCCCGGUGUAGGGGUAAAAUGCGUAGAUAUCGGGAGGAACCCCGUUGGCGAAGGCGGCCUUCUGGGCUGAGCCUGACGCUGAGGCGCGAAAGCGGGGGGAGCGAACCGGAUUAGAUACCCCUGUAGU